This is a long non-coding RNA of Felis catus (domestic cat), 3198 nucleotides long. RefSeq lists it as uncharacterized. The transcript has 6 exons. The record is from RefSeq and is a predicted model, not a curated record. Lineage: Eukaryota; Metazoa; Chordata; Mammalia; Carnivora; Felidae.
GCACUGGGUGUUAUAGGGCUGAAUUUAGUGAAACCUUUAUUACACUAUAUGUUAACUAAUCUGCAGUUUUAUUUUUCUUUUAAAGAUAUAUUAAGAAAAGCAAUGCGAUUUAAGAUAGAUUUAGUUUUGUUCUCUUUUAAGGGAUCGGUCUUAUUACCUAUAGGAUGCUGUAGGUCUCCAAAGACAGUGACUCAGAGUAUUAGUUUUACUCUAAUUCACCAAGAGGAGGGUGUGACCGUGGAGUGUUCUGAACACCAACAGGUCGUGAAAUCACCAGGUUGUGUUUGUUGGAUAUUUAGGGUGCCCUUACUUCACUUCUCUAUUUCUGGCUUCUAAUUGCUAGGACACACACGGUUCCACAAAGCCAAAAUGGAAAGAGACAAUCUGCUUGAUGAAAGUGGCUUUAUCACUCUGAAUGUUCAAGUCCUCUCAGUAAAGCUCAGGCAUGACAACCAAGCCCAGAACGGAGUUUCCUAUUUUUUUCCUCUGAGAAUCUGGCUUGAAGACACUUGUAUCUGCAAAGUAGAGUUUGUCUGUUACCCAGCCAGCCCUCAUGAGGGACCCGUUGUGUGGCUCCUACUCACAGUCUGGUAGAAUGAAGUGUACCAGAGGAAGGACCACAUGGUCAAGUGGCCCUACCUUCUGUUUAAGAAAGACAAUAUAGUUCCGUGGAUUUUAGACAUUCCUUAUGUAAAUCCACUGCUCCUUUUCCUGUAGCGAAUAAAGAGUGUUAGCCAGAGGGAGAGACUAGGGUGAGGCAGACAAGAAGUGUUCUCCUUUGUGACGAUGGGAAAAGGGGGGGGGGUGAGAGCCCUGUGCCCCCCCCCCCCCCCGGUCAUUGGCUUGAGUCCCUGUCCACCAUUUAUUAAUUGUGCAACGUGGAACAAUGUUUUAUUUUGAUCACUUAACCUCCCCAGGUCUAAUUUUUCCACCUCUGUGACCUACAGAAAAUAUUACCUGUCUUGUGGGGUUCUUGUGAGAAUUAAAUUGGGUCAUGUGCAUAAAGUGCUCAGUUAAGUAACAGACGUGUGGUGGGUUCUCAACACAGGCCUGCUGUUCUCGUCAGUUUUCAGCAAGACACAUCACUGCGCAGAUUCCCAAUCGUCUCCCCUAAAAACGAGGCACUUCAGUACUUCCUGGUCUAAAACAAGGAUGAGAGAAUUUCCCAAACUCACCUGCUCACAGAAGAUUUUAAAAAUGAUAAGGCAUUUAAGGAACUUGACUUUCAGAAAGACUGCUUUUUGGACCUGAAGUUAACACUUUCCUCCUUGGUUAAUGCUGCCCUGUUCUGAACUUCUCUAUUCAAAGUUUGGCAUGAAGACAGCUACUGAGAGCUUGAAGGAGGAUCCAGCCUGCUUCUCACACCACUGAACUUCCCUCUUCAUCACCUUGGCUUUGCACUUCCCGGGAUGGAACUGCUUGUUAACUCUCUGAACUAGCCCAAAGCAGCCAGGCACCAGACAGAGACAUCUCUGAUAACUUGCUCAGCUUUUAACAGUGGAUUGAGUUCAAAUCUCUUUGUACAGGAGCCUAACUAGGACCAGGUGGAGACCACAGGGCGCCAGGCACUAUGAAGAACUGGUCCAAUUGUUGCAGGUGUUGGCGGUUGGAACGGGCUGCCUCAAGAGGUGGUGAGGUCCUGUUGCUGCGCUGACACCAAGGCCACUCCACAGGGGAGAAGAGGGUGCAGAUGAUGUUGGAUGUGCCUCCUUCUCAACCGGAAAGUUUCACACCCAAUAGGGAAGAGGGAGUCAGAGUGAGAGCUCUAGAACCCCAGAGAUGGUCAGAAAACCUUCCCUCAUUGAAUGCCCUCGGAGCCAUCAACUCUCUCCACUGCCCGGUUGAGAAUAACUUCAUCAGUGGAUAAUAUUCUGACAUACGUCAUCUGUGUAUUAUAAGGUUUAACUGGGCUGGUUUUCUCAGAACUUCAAGACUGAGUUCAACUGAAGCAGAUCAGUGAAUAUUUUUUUAAAUUAACCUGGCAUUCAUUAAUACUGGUUUAACAUCAGUGAAAAGCCAAGUAGAGGUUUUGAACGUAAGGAAGCUGGUUUCACCCGAGUAACCUCUUUGAUCCAGAAUUGUACUAAACACAUACACACUAUCUGUUCUAAUCUUCAACAUUCUGCAAGAAGAAGAAACUGAGGCUAAGAGAUUAAGAUGGCUUGCCUGGUUGUGAACCAAAUGCCUCACCUUGAAGGUGGCAGAACCACCAUUUGAACCCCCCCCCAUUCUAAACACCAUUGUUUUUCGUAUUAAUCUUAUUGCCUCUUUAUAGAAGGCUUCUAUUUGAAAACAGAGGUUUCCACAUUAGUCUAUAGGAUAAACAUCCUUCAACUGAUGAUUCCUAAUUAUCCACAGGAGGAGACUGUCAUAGUGCCCAAUGAGGGAGAAAAGAGCUAUUUGAAAAAUAAUGUGGAGAUUGCUCUGGAUGUUUUUGAUGGACACAAAGACAUGAAAAAUGGGAACCAAAAACAGAGGGGGAAUAAAGCCCAUUCUGAAGCUCUGAAGCCCCAUGACCCAGGUGUACAUCAUACAGUCAGCUGUCAAGAAAGACUCCAUUGCCCCACUCACAGGGGUUCUCCCACCAUGUGGCCACAGUCCCCUUGCAUAUGACGGAAUCCUCUGUGUUCUCUAAGGGUCUCCUUCCCCUCUGGUUCUUCUCAUGCUUCGUCUCUCCAGAGAGCCUGGCAGCCGGUUCUAGCCCUCAACGCCCUCAUGCUGGCCCCUGUGGCUUCAUUCCUGGAAACAUGAUUUUCUCCAUUUAUUCCCACCUGUUGUCUCUAGACUGUCAGUACCACGAGGGGAUGACGAGGACGCUCUACUAAAAUCACAUGAAUCAGAACCUCGUGCAGCCCGCACAAGAACCUGAAAAAACUUCAGGCUUAACACCACUUGCCAGCAUGGGGCAGUUCUCCACACCCUCUGAACGGCCUUACUUCCCUCAAAGUAACCUUAGCUCUUAACAUCUUGCAAAGUGAUUUAUGUGAGCCAAUUACUAACUGAAGUAUCCGGAAAACAGAAACUGAAAAAAACAAAAAAAAACAAAAAACGUGUUGUCUGAAGUUGAGAAAAAAGAUCCCAGAACUGCUGAGAUGACUUUACACACACACACACACACACACACACACACACACACUCAUUCCCUCUCUCCCCCUUCUCAUUAUCUCCCCCUCUCCCCUCCUCACUCCUCCCCUUCCU